AGAGUUUGAUCCUGGCUCAGGAUGAACGCUAGCGGCAGGCCUAAUACAUGCAAGUCGAACGGCAGCAUAGUGUAGCAAUACAUUGAUGGCGAGUGGCGCACGGGUGCGUAACACGUAUGUAACCUACCGGGUACUGUGGACUAUCCCCCGGAAACGGGGACUAAUUCCACAUAGGAUGAUUGGGUGGCAUCACUUAUUCAAGAAAGAUUUAUCGGUACCUGAUGGACAUGCGUCUGAUUAGCUAGUUGGCGAGGUAAAGGCUCACCAAGGCGACGAUCAGUAGCUGGUCUGAGAGGAUGAUCAGCCACACUGGCACUGAGACACGGGCCAGACUCCUACGGGAGGCAGCAGUAGGGAAUAUUGGACAAUGGGGGCAACCCUGAUCCAGCCAUGCCGCGUGAAGGAAGAAGGCCCUCUGGGUUGUAAACUUCUUUUAACUGGGGAUAAACCCUCACUAUAAGUGGGGCUGAAGGUACCAGUAGAAUAAGCACCGGCUAACUCCGUGCCAGCAGCCGCGGUAAUACGGAGGGUGCAAGCGUUGUCCGGAUUCAUUGGGUUUAAAGGGUGCGUAGGCGGGCAUAUAAGUCAGUGGUGAAAUUCUGGGGCUCAACUUCAGAUGUGCCAUUGAUACUGUAAGUCUUGAGACGAGUCGAGGUAGCUGGAAUGUGUAGUGUAGCGGUGAAAUGCACAGAUAUUACACAGAACACCAAUUGCGAAGGCAAGUUACUAGGCUCGACUGACGCUGAGGCACGAAAGUGUGGGGAGCAAACAGGAUUAGAUACCCUGGUAGUCCACACUGUAAACGAUGGUUACUAGAUGUUCGGGUUUUGACCUGAGUGUCCAAGCGAAAGCGAUAAGUAACCCACCUGGGGAGUACGACCGCAGGGUUGAAACUCAAAGGAAUUGACGGGGGCCCGCACAAGCGGUGGAGCAUGUGGUUUAAUUCGAUGGUACGCGAGGAACCUUACCUGGGCUAGAAUGCGCGUGACGUUACGAGAAAUCGUAAUUCCCUUCAGGGCACAAAGCAAGGUGCUGCAUGGCUGUCGUCAGCUCGUGCCGUGAGGUGUUGGGUUAAGUCCCGCAACGAGCGCAACCCCUAUUCCUAGUUGCCAACGGGUCAAGCCGGGGACUCUAGGGAGACUGCCUGCGCAAGCAGUGAGGAAGGUGGGGACGACGUCAAGUCAUCAUGGCCCUUACGCCCAGGGCUACACACGUGCUACAAUGGACGGUACAGAGGGUCGCAAGCCUGCGAAGGCGAGCUAAUCUCAAAAAGCCGUUCUCAGUUCGGAUUGGAGUCUGCAACUCGACUCCAUGAAGCUGGAAUCGCUAGUAAUCGCGCAUCAGCAAUGGCGCGGUGAAUACGUUCCCGGGCCUUGUACACACCGCCCGUCAAGCCAUGGGAGCUGAGGGUACCUAAAGCCGGCCACGCCGUCUAGGGUAAAAUCAGUGACUGGGGCUAAGUCGUAACAAGGUAGCCGUACCGGAAGGUG
Molecule: ribosomal RNA, 1490 nt
Filed under: metagenome
Description: bacterial SSU rRNA
Rfam family: Bacterial small subunit ribosomal RNA
Source: RNAcentral